This 109-nucleotide ribosomal RNA is filed under the name Leptobrachium leishanense (Leishan spiny toad). The record is from RNAcentral. Lineage: Eukaryota; Metazoa; Chordata; Amphibia; Anura; Megophryidae.
GCCUACGGCCAUACCACCCUGAACACUCCCGAUCUUGGAAGCUAAGCAGGGUCGGGCCUGGUUAGUACUUGGAUGGGAGACCGCCUGGGAAUACCAGGUGUUGUAGGCU